CAUGUGGUUUAAUUCGAUGAUACGCGAGGAACCGUUACCUGGGCUCAAAUGUAUGUUGACGUAUUCUGAAAGGGAUACUUCUUCGGACAAUAUACAAGGUGCUGCAUGGUUGUCGUCAGCUCGUGCCGUGAGGUGUCGGGUUAAGGUCCCAUAACGAGCGCAACCCCUAUCAUUAGUUGCCAUCAGGUCAAGCUGGGGACUCUAAUGAAACUGCCUACGCAAGUAGUGAGGAAGGUGGGGAUGACGUCAAAUCAGCACGGCCCUUACGUCCAGGGCUACACACGUGCUACAAUGGCCGAUACAGAGGGCAGCUACCUGGUGACAGGAUGCAAAUCUCCAAAGUCGGUCUCAGUUCGGAUCGGAGUCUGCAACCCGACUCCGUGAAGUUGGAUUCGCUAGUAAUCGCGCAUCAGCCAUGGCGCGGUGAAUACGUUCCCGGGCCUU
RNAcentral lists this ribosomal RNA (444 nucleotides) under uncultured Sphingobacteriales bacterium. Its description in RNAcentral is "bacterial SSU rRNA". It matches the Rfam family "Bacterial small subunit ribosomal RNA", at positions 938 to 1382 of the family's 1533-position model. The record is from RNAcentral. Lineage: Bacteria; Pseudomonadati; Bacteroidota; Sphingobacteriia; Sphingobacteriales.